This 69-nucleotide transfer RNA is filed under the name Marmota monax (woodchuck). RNAcentral describes it as "tRNA.Ala". The record is from RNAcentral. Lineage: Eukaryota; Metazoa; Chordata; Mammalia; Rodentia; Sciuridae.
GGGGUUGUGGCUCAGAGGUAGAGCGCUUACCUAGCAUGCAUGGGGCACGGGGUCCGAACCUCAGCACCA